Long non-coding RNA from Haliotis rubra (blacklip abalone), 860 nucleotides. RefSeq lists it as uncharacterized. NCBI's taxonomy places the organism in Eukaryota, Metazoa, Mollusca, Gastropoda, Lepetellida, Haliotidae. The record is from RefSeq and is a predicted model, not a curated record. The transcript has 2 exons.
CAUGUGACUCAAUCGUGUCAUCGUGACCUUAACAGCCAUAGCCAGAUAACACGUGGGAGUGACCUACUCCCUUGGAAUGCACAGUGGCACGUUAUCAGGAAAAAUGAUAUUCCCUUCAUCACUCCUGUUAUAUAUUUAAUGCCUAUCAGAUGUUCUUGAACACCCAUGGUAGGACGACCCCCUGUCUGGGCUUCCACAUGUCUCUUCUUCGCGCGCUCGUCGGGAACACUCAGGUGACUAGGAGGACUGGAGGACCGAAGACCAAGCCUCCUUCCCGACGACUGACCGAACACCUCUGUUUAGAGCGAUAGAGGACCACAGAUGGCUGCGCAGAGAAGAUCAGGACUUGAGGUCCUGACGGCUAUAGCCCGUGAAAGCCACAUUUAACAAAAACAGAGUUGAAAUGGUGUAUGGUUGAGUGGUCGUGUGAAUGUGGCUCUCCCGGCAAUGGGCAUGGUUGAGUGAUCGUGUGAAUGUGGCUCUCCCGGCAAUGGUCAUGGUUGAGUGAUCGUGUGAAUGUGGCUCUCCCGGCAAUGGUCAUGGUUGAGUGGUCGUGUGAAUGUGGCUCUCCCGGCAAUGGGCAUGGUUGAGUGGUCGUGUGAAUGUGGUUCUCCUGGCAAUGGGCAUGGUUGAGUGGUCGUGUGAAUGUGGCUCUCCCGGCAAUGGGCAUGGUUGAGUGAUCGUGUUAAUGUGGCUCUCCCGGCAAUGCGCAAUGCGCUAUUAGCUAAACCAUGUUACCGUAAAUAAUGUGAAAUAUUCAGUAUGUAAAAUCUAGAAAUCCAGUUGAAUUGUUCGUGGAGAAAAGUCCAGAUCACGGAAACAAGCUGCCUCACAUAGGCAUUCAAACACCUUUUACGAAA